This is a long non-coding RNA of Colossoma macropomum (tambaqui), 4477 nucleotides long. RefSeq lists it as uncharacterized. Lineage: Eukaryota; Metazoa; Chordata; Actinopteri; Characiformes; Serrasalmidae. The record is from RefSeq and is a predicted model, not a curated record. The transcript is spliced from 3 exons.
UGAAGCGGACCUUCACGGAGAAGGGCCAGCUGGAAACCAGCACUGGAAAGUAUGCCAGGAUUGAAACAAAGAGGACGGGAGCGACAAUAGUUGCUAAACAAAAUCAAGGAAAUCAGUCUAAUAUUACUGUUUAUAGGAGUUGCGAGAAUGAUAACAACGUCUACGUGGCGUUCUGCUUUGAACUGAAAAACAAGAAGUAUUUUCCUGUAGUAAAGAAGCAAGGAGACUCAACAGCUCCUGUCCAAUUCCAGGUGGAACUGCUGAAUGAUGAAAACGCUUUAGACGAUUCGUUCCUGUUCAGGUGGACUGAGGCAAAAGGAGGCUGGAAAUUCCUGAAUUCUGUGGCAGAACCCUAGCCAGUACUUGUCUGUCUAUAGAAACCAGUUCACCCUCACCACCACACCAACAAUUCAUUUCAGAUUCAAAUCCAGCAUCCGCCUGAAUCAAAUGAAGAGAAAAAAAUGAUUAAUUUCUUUUUUCUUUUGUUGCUAGCCAGCACGUCAGUACAUCUUUACAUGUAACCAUGUAACGGCAUUAUUAACAGGUUUAUAUGCAGUGUAACUCCUGAAAAUAUCUAACCUGAAGAUUAUUUUCACAAGUAGGCCUCUGUACUAACCACACAUAAUGCACACUUACUUUACUUUGUAUUGUAGAUUUUAAGAGACUAGCUGUCUCUACUAUGCCAGACAAAAAUGCCAAGCGUAUUCAUAUACCAUAUUUUCAUUUUUUCACUGUAUAAACAGUUGUAUCCAAACGUUUAAGCACUCCUCACCAAAUUUUGGCUGAUUUUUCAAGUGAAAAGAAGGAAACACAGCCUCUGUUUGAAUGCCAUACUAAGUCAGUACUACGUCGUUUUGGGCCAUCUUGCAUGCACAGCAUGUAUAAAUGAUCUACCCACAGAUUUUUAAUGAUGUUCAAGUCGGGGGACUGCGAGGGCCGUUCUAAACCUUCAGCUUGUGUUCAGCCUAGAAGUAGUUCAUGGUGGAUUUUGAGGUAUGUUUUGGAUCAUUGUCCUGUUGUAGAAGCCAACUUCUUUUGAGCUUCAGUUUCUUGACUGGCUGUGUCAUAGAAUUCUUCCAAAAUUUGCUGACAUUUAGUGGAAUCCAUUCUUUCAUCUACCCAUGCAAUGUUUCCUGUGCCACUGGCUGCCACACAACCCCAAAGCAUAAUAGAUCCAACCCCAUGCUUAACAGCUGGCAAGUUGUUCUUUUCAUCAGCACCGCUCCUUUUUUCCCAAACAUACGUCUGGUGAUUGUGGCCAAAGGGUUACUUUUUUUACUUCAUCAGUCCUAGAUGUCUAGAAGUCGCCAGUAAGGUUUGCUAAGGCUUGUAAGGUUUAAUUCAUGCUGUCAAAAGGGGGUUGUUCUUUGCCUUUUUGGUCAGCAUACAAACAGUUUUAUCUGAGAAUUUUCAUAGCCUUCAAGAUCUUACCUUUAUUUCCGCAGUUCCUCUUGAUGACAUUUCGGACAGUGGAUAUCGCAAACUGGAUGCGCUUUGAUCCUUUUAUAGCCUUACCCUUCUUUAUAAGCAUCAGUUAGCUUCGUUUUCAGAUCCUUAGGCACAAUCCCAUUUCUUAUUUUUACCCCUACCCCUUGUUUCCGAGUGUCACCUUGUCCCUUGGAACUGAGUACAAGGGGUAAUGGUUGAAAUCUUCCCCUACAAAAUGGGACGACCCACAAAUAAAAAGAGCAUUACUUCAUUAACAGGCUACUAGCAGUGCCCUGUAGGCAACCCUGCCAGUCUUCAGUGAUAGCAGAGGAGGGUGAAGUUCAGCAACCUCGCUGCUGGGCUUUAGUUACAUUUAGGGAAUCAUAUGCCUUCAAAGAGGGGGGAUAUGACAGUUAUUUAUUAUCGCCCACCCCUAAUUCUUCGGUGAUAUGAAGCUGAAGUCAGCUAUUUGCCAGCUUCUCGUAUGAAUUUUCCUAUUCCAGAAGUUACAUUCUAGUGCUUCAGGUGCCAGUACCGCUGGACUAUUUAAGGUGGAAUGGGAAAUUUAGGCAGUUGGCUACCAAGACAUCAGCAUAAUAUUAGCAAUUGUUUAUGCUUGUUUUGAAGAAAAGGGCCAUAAGAUAUUGAAACGACAUUAACCUAAGAUAAUAUAAUGGUUAUCAUAUUUUUUUAACAGAGAAAAUUCUCACAUUUGUGGGUUUCUUUGGUCGCUUGCGCAGCCAUCUUGCCGGUUUUUCUUUUUUUCUCAUAACACUCUGUUUGGAGUGUAACUCUGGAAAACGUCUGUUUGGAGGGCCAUGUAGCCCUAACACUUCACCCUGCCUCUCUAUCUCAACAAAAAUCAGGAAACCCUACCCCUAGGCAUGAACGCGCAAAACGGAGGGGUAGGGGCAAGGGGUGAAAUGGGACUGAGCCUGCUGCUUAGAGAUGCCCAUUCUUGUUGAGUGUUGGCACAAGAUUCAGAGAAUCAGAGAAGAAUCAGACAAUUUAUUACACUCUGAAAUUGUUUUCAGGUAAAAAUUCCUGGCCUGGCUAACCAGUCCUAACAAGUCAGUGAAGGCCUAUUGAGUUACGUUCUGAGACUUUACAACUGUAAGAGCGUCUAAACGUUUUCACAUGCCAUUUUUUCUUUUUAACUUAAUGCAGCAGUCACUAUAUAUUUGAUUCACACUUGCAGAAAAAUGUUAUUUUUUAAUAGUCUGCUGCAGAGGAUGUAUUUAUUUCUUUUCACUUCAGAAAAGUAUGGAGUAUUUGCCCAGUAUUUGCCCAGGGCUGCCUGACAUUUUGCAGACAACUAUAUUAGUAGUUGAAGAGAUAUCAUUUUAGCUGCCUUUUUACAUGCUUACAGAUUAAUGUCUGAUAAAUAGAAGCAGUGCAUUCCAUAGUUUGGUGCAGAAAAACAAAGCUACCUUUACACUACUUCUGUUUUUUAGUUUGGAUAUUUGAAGUAGGCCAGCAUUUACUAAACUGUGAUCAUGUAAUGGAGUGUGUGCAGACAGACUUGGAGUUAAGUUUGCAGGUGCUGAAUCGUUGUGUUUUUAAACACAAGCAACCAGUGUAAAUCUUUCAACACAGGAUUGAUAUACGAUAUGUCCAAAUAGAUCCUGAAACCACUUCCAAUUAGCAGUCACUUUAAGGUGCACCCAUUGUUGACACAGGCAUUUAAUUGCACACACACACACGGCUUUUUGGAGUCUAAAGUGUAGGUUUACUCCCUGUCCCGGAAACCAGCCCACAGUGUUUGUGCUUAAUCUUGAUUGAUGUUGUUUGGGAAGCCCAGAAAGGAGAGCAUUACUAUAAUCCAACAUUUUGGCCUUUGCCAAAAAGUGAUCAUUGUAUUUCUGCUUUCUAUUAGGUUCCACAGACUUCACCCACUGCCCUACAUGCCAUGGUAAAGACAUGACAAUAAGGGGAUAGGCUUUCAAAGGUAAUUACACUGAUUCAGGGGUUACUAAACUGAAUACGUUAUUGUAGUUUUAAAUAGACACAGUGGCAGGUUUCAUACACUUCAGAGAAGCUGUAUAUUUGCCUCUGUCCUUUCAGAUUGGUAGUGCUGUCGUAGAUUGAUGGGAAUGAUUCAGCUCACGUUGAGAAUGAGCCCAAACAUAUAGGCUCUCAGACUACUCAACCAGAUCACUUUGGUAAACAUGAAAGGAAUGCCUGUUGAGAUGGACAGUAUCAGAGGCUUAAAACUAUUGGCGGUUUGAUAAAGCACCUUUUUAGUGCACGUAUAGUAUCAAGUAAUAUGAAGGUUAAGAACAAGGCUUGGCUUUGGCUUAUCUUUUCCUGUUAUAAACGUUGUGAGUUAUUCCAUUGAUGGCAGUUUAUUGUCUGAUAAAGGUUGGUCUACUUCCACUGGUAAUUAGUGUUCUCUAUUUGUUUUGCAUAUAGUUUUGUAGUUUUUGAAGGAAACAGCUGGAAUAACAGCUGUUGUAUAGUGGAAAACACAAUAUUAUUUCUCUAAUAAAGCAAUUAUUCAUAAAACAUCAUUGAUAUUUUGGUUUUAUUGGUUUUGAAAAAAGCCCAUAUAUAUAUAUUCACUAAAUAAACAAUCACUUCAUUGAUUGUUUAUUGAGGGUUUUUUGUACUGCAACAUUUUGCUUGCUUGCAUUUACUGUCUUCUUGGUCUUCUUUUAGAUCAAGGUCUGUUCUGAUGGGCUGUCCUGCAUUGUUCAUAGCUCAAAAAGAAGUCGGGGCUAAAAACUUUAUGUUGGGUUAAAUGGGUUAAACAGACAAAUAUGCAAAUGUCUUAUAUUAUGACAUCACGCAGACAAAUUUCCGUACAUGGACUGGGGAGUGAAUGGUACGAUUUAAAAUGUUAACUAAGUUUUAUAAGUGUUUACAUACUACAACUAACUUACCUAUAUUUUAGAAAGCGAGGGAAAAUUGGUUUGCUGAUAUGACCAUAUGACCCAAAUCUGUUAACUUCAGCACUUUAUGCUUGGAGGUCUAUGUGUUUACCUUUUUCAUCUUUAUCCAUCUAUGCUUAAUUUGAGUCUACAUAAAUGCAUUAAACAAGGCAAAUACA